Molecule: ribosomal RNA, 468 nt
Filed under: uncultured bacterium
Lineage: Bacteria
Description: partial 16S ribosomal RNA
Rfam family: Bacterial small subunit ribosomal RNA
Source: RNAcentral
GACGAACGCUGGCGGCGUGCUUAACACAUGCAAGUCGAACGGAAAGGCCCUGCUUUUGUGGGGUGCUCGAGUGGCGAACGGGUGAGUAACACGUGAGUAACCUGCCCUUGACUGUGGGAUAACUUCAGGAAACUGGGGCUAAUACCGGAUAGGAGCUCCGGCUGCAUGGUGGGGGGUGGAAAGUUUCGGCGGUUGGGGAUGGACUCGCGGCUUAUCAGCUUGUUGGUGGGGUAGUGGCUUACCAAGGCUUUGACGGGUAGCCGGCCUGAGAGGGUGACCGGCCACAUUGGGACUGAGAUACGGCCCAGACUCCUACGGGAGGCAGCAGUGGGGAAUAUUGCACACUGGGCGGAAGCCUGAUGCAGCAACGCCGCGUGCGGGAUGACGGCCUUCGGGUUGUAAACCGCUUUCGCCUGUGACGAAGCGUGAGUGACGGUAAUGGGUAAAGAAGCACCGGCUAACUACGUG